This is a long non-coding RNA of Monodelphis domestica (gray short-tailed opossum), 1133 nucleotides long. RefSeq lists it as uncharacterized. The record is from RefSeq and is a predicted model, not a curated record. Lineage: Eukaryota; Metazoa; Chordata; Mammalia; Didelphimorphia; Didelphidae.
UCCAUCCCUUGUAACACUCCACCUAUUGUUCGGUUUAUCUGAACACUGUGACCUCUAUCCUUCCUGCUCAUCUUCCUGUGUUCCUAGGCAUGUUGGGGCAGAGCUCAGAUGAGGUCUCCUGAGAUCUUCAUUGUAAAGCAAUUUGCUGUCAAAAGCCCUAACGGAAUCCAAGCUGUUAGUGCCAAGUUGUUCCAAGAAUGUGUUGAUUCCAAGCAGAAUGGGCUGAACUAGCUAGACCUGAGAACAAGGUCUGGAGACAGAGGAUGGACAUCGAGGGUCAUAAGGAUCCAAAGAUUCUGAAAAGAAAUAUGCCUUAGAACAAAGAUUGUAGUCUACCACCUCCAUGUUUUUCUGAGGAGGAAACUGAAGCCCAGAGAGAGGAAAGAACAUUCCCAAGGUCUCAGAAGAGGAUGUGCCUGUAGUCUAGAAAGGAAGAAAAAUAGGUUCCUGUUAGGACUAAAAGAAAGGCGGAGACCGAGGCUCAGAAGUGGGAAGCAACAUAUUCAAGGUCACCCCAAAAGUUAAAUCAGUAAAGGUUGGUGCCUUUGUUGCAGAAUAAUAAAUAAUAACCUAGCUGUGGCCCUGACUGUUCCCUGGCCUUAAGCCCGGGCUCUGAGCUCCUGCCCAUCUCAGGGGCUGCGUCAGCUUUGUUUCUCGAUUGCACAAGAAGCAGACAUUGUGAAUCCAAGGCUCCUAGAACCUCGGGUUGAAACACAACUCCAGAAGGAUCAUCCAGCUUCUUCUUGAAGACCUCCAGGGAUGGGAAACUCACCGUCUCCUGAGGCAUCCCAUUCCACUUGGCAGAUAACUUGAUGAGGGAGUUUUGCUUUGUGUCAAGAAGGAAUCUGGCUCUCAGAAACUUCUCUCUUUGGUCUCUAAUUCCAUCUUAUGGGACACAGCAGAAUAAACAAGCCAGAAAUGUUUGUUCUGUGCCCAUAACAGCCCGAAAGAUACCUAGAAACGAUGAUCUUGUACCAGCUGAAGGCUUCUCUGUUCCAGGCAUUUGUCCUAAAGGAUUUGCUCUCCCUGUCUGAGAGGAUUCGGCCACUAUUGACCUGAAGAAUGGAAAGGAGAAAGAAUGUGUGUGUGUGUGUGUGUGUGUGUGUGUGUGUGUGUGAGUGUAUCUGUGUGUG